UACGGAAGGCAGCAGUGGGGAAUAUUGCACAAUGGGCGAAAGCCCGAUGCAGCUAUGCCGCGUGUAUGAAGAAGGCCUUAGGGUUGUAAAGUACUUUCAUCGGGGAGGAAAAAACAAAACUAAUAAUUUUAUUUCUUGACGUUACCCGAAAAAGAAGCACCGGCUAACUCCGUGCCAGCAGCCGCGGUAAUACGGAGGGUGCUAGCGUUAAUCAGAAUUACUGGGCGUAAAGAGCACGUAGGUGGUUUUUUUAAGUCAGAUGUGAAAUCCCUGGGCUUAACCUAGGAACUGCAUUUUGAAACUGAAAUACUAGAGUAUCGUAGAGGGAGGUAGAAUUCUAGGUGUAGCGGUGAAAUGCGUAGAUAUCUGGAGGAAUACCUGUGGCGAAAGCGGCCUCCUAAACGAAUACUGACACUGAGGGUGCGAAAGCGUGGGGAGCAAACAGGGAUUAGAUACC
This 457-nucleotide ribosomal RNA is filed under the name uncultured bacterium. RNAcentral describes it as "bacterial SSU rRNA". It matches the Rfam family "Bacterial small subunit ribosomal RNA", at positions 340 to 786 of the family's 1533-position model. The record is from RNAcentral.